This 106-nucleotide small nucleolar RNA is filed under the name Brassica napus (rape). RNAcentral describes it as "snoRNA snoR100". It matches the Rfam family "Small nucleolar RNA snoR100". The record is from Rfam by way of RNAcentral. Lineage: Eukaryota; Viridiplantae; Streptophyta; Magnoliopsida; Brassicales; Brassicaceae.
AUAUGAAUGUAGCAUGGUACUGUACACGGAAAGUGAACUAUGGAUCGACAUGUCUGCCAUCUUUGAAUUAUCUUUUGAUGAGACGGCCUGGUUUAGAUCCACAUUC